Non-coding RNA from Arvicanthis niloticus (Nile rat), 420 nucleotides. Lineage: Eukaryota; Metazoa; Chordata; Mammalia; Rodentia; Muridae. The record is from RefSeq and is a predicted model, not a curated record.
GCCACAACAAGCAAGUUCCAGUCAAACUCUGGAGAGUUGCCCCUUUGUAUGGCUGCUUGUCUGAGAGUAAGACACAUCUGCCAUUUCAGACUUCUUGUUCCUCAGAUUCAGUUUCAGGGCAGCUGUUAGACGUAUAUGUAACUACAGUCAAGGCAGCAUGCAGAAACAUCUCCAGUGUGCUCAGUCUCUUUGAAGAAAUGUCUGGGACCCUGAAGCCUUCCCUUUAUACUGAGCCAAUCUUCUGGAAAGUUCCUGCACUUGAGCCUGUGGUCACCAAAACACACAUGCUAUAUGGGAAAUGCGUACUUAAAGAGAGAAGAUUCUGUGUUACAUGACGUGUGCUUUGAAAUGUUCCUGCGACCCCAUCCACCAACCAACCUUCAAAAAUUUUGACCUAGAAUUGUUCCUGUCUAAAAGAAA